GAUGGAACAGGUGAACAUGCUACAUUAAGAUGGUGAGUCCAAAGAUGUUUGAGCUCACUGGAGAUUCAAAUGAAAAGAUCCUGUUAACAAUCAAGAGUGCUGUAGAGAGUGUAGGCCAUGGAAAGUGCCCUUGGUACCAAGAUUAAUAAACUGAGGUAUCUGGCUAAAUUUAAGCACUGGCAAAACAGAAUCAAAGCAUCUAUUUAAAAUGUAGAACUCGACCAAGCAAUGGAGAUAGUGAGCAAGAAGUUUUGGAAAGGAAACAAGAAAAUUUGAAAGACUUUCUGCAGGUAUAUCAUUUUACAGGGUUCUGUGGUAAACCGACCAGCUGAGGAGUCUGUGUCUGCAUCAAUAUUGCCUUUGAGAGGAACCUGUUGGAUUCCUAUUUUGUUGACUUUGUCAUACAGAAGCC
RNAcentral lists this long non-coding RNA (412 nucleotides) under Homo sapiens (human). Its description in RNAcentral is "non-protein coding lnc-CHD1-8:1". The record is from RNAcentral. Lineage: Eukaryota; Metazoa; Chordata; Mammalia; Primates; Hominidae.